UGGGGAUGACGUCAAAUCAUCAUGCCCCUUAUGACCUGGGCUACACACGUGCUACAAUGGGCGGUACAAAGGGUCGCGAACCCGCGAGGGGGAGCCAAUCCCAAAAAGCCGCUCUCAGUUCGGAUUGCAGGCUGCAACUCGCCUGCAUGAAGCCGGAAUCGCUAGUAAUCGCGGAUCAGCAUGCCGCGGUGAAUACGUUCCCGGGCCGUU
RNAcentral lists this ribosomal RNA (210 nucleotides) under uncultured Anoxybacillus sp. RNAcentral describes it as "partial 16S ribosomal RNA". It matches the Rfam family "Bacterial small subunit ribosomal RNA", at positions 1174 to 1382 of the family's 1533-position model. Lineage: Bacteria; Bacillati; Bacillota; Bacilli; Caryophanales; Anoxybacillaceae. The record is from RNAcentral.